CAGCCGCCGCGGUAAUACGGAGGGUGCAAGCGUUAAUCGGAAUUACUGGGCGUAAAGCGCACGCAGGCGGUCUGUCAAGUCAGAUGUGAAAUCCCCGGGCUUAACCUGGGAACUGCAUUUGAAACUGGCAGGCUAGAGUCUUGUAGAGGGGGGUAGAAUUCCAGGUGUAGCGGUGAAAUGCGUAGAGAUCUGGAGGAAUACCGGUGGCGAAGGCGGCCCCCUGGACAAAGACUGACGCUCAGGUGCGAAAGCGUGGGGAGCAAACAGGAUUAGAUACCCGGGUAGUCCCUGUCUCUUAUAC
RNAcentral lists this ribosomal RNA (301 nucleotides) under uncultured bacterium. RNAcentral's name for it is "partial 16S ribosomal RNA". It matches the Rfam family "Bacterial small subunit ribosomal RNA", at positions 509 to 807 of the family's 1533-position model. The record is from RNAcentral.